CCAUUGUUGUGUGGGUGCCUAAGCUCUCAAAUAAAAAAAUAAAACACAAGUCCUAGAUUUUUAACUUUACUCACAAAAGUUUCUUAACGAAAAACGUUGAGCAUUUUCCGUAGAUCGUUAAUCUAUCUUUGCAUGUUGGAUCAAGAUUCGACAAGUUGUCGAGCUAUCGGGUCGGAGGACCAAGGGAAUUAACGGAGUUGUUUAAAGGAGCAUUGACGGAGUAAUACCGUAGUUAAACGGUUUCUGAUCGUUACCUGUCUUUUUGGAUGAGACUUCACUUUGUUUGCUUCUCGAAGUCCCCUUGUUUGAAUUGUGGUAUUUUGUUCAGUAGCGCUACAAUAGUAGUUAUCCGCAGUAGAUUAGUAUAGUCUCAUUGUAUUCAAAGGUUUUAAAGCGCAUUUAAAACUCUGAUGUUUUGUCCCAUCAGUUAUUUAAUAAAUGUUUCAUACAUUUCUAUUUUCAAAGCGAAAAAUUUAUAGUGUUUUUCAGGCUUGCUACGGGUUUCGGAGCAACCACUCCCAUUCCCUAGCGCCGGUCUCGACUCGAGAUUUCGGGUCGU
Molecule: long non-coding RNA, 559 nt
Organism: Mercurialis annua (annual mercury)
Lineage: Eukaryota; Viridiplantae; Streptophyta; Magnoliopsida; Malpighiales; Euphorbiaceae
Exons: 3
Source: RefSeq, a predicted model, not a curated record